Molecule: long non-coding RNA, 850 nt
Organism: Lingula anatina
Lineage: Eukaryota; Metazoa; Brachiopoda; Lingulata; Lingulida; Lingulidae
Source: RefSeq, a predicted model, not a curated record
UAGUGGAUUUGAAGGACUUGCACUUUGAACAGUGGAAUGCAUGAUGUAUACUGGUAACAGUUACGAAUCUGACACAUCUGAUACGCCGAAGUAGGUCACAUAAUACUUUACAAGUAGGAAAAGGGUGAACAGAAAGCCUGGUCUAUUACACUCCUUCGGCUUUUUAGACCUGUUAUGUUCAGUAUAAUUUUAAGAUACAACGCCAGGUUUAACGAAAGGCAGAUGAUUUUAUCCCGCACAGGAUAAGGCUAUCUCGAAGAGCUAUCUCUAUAAGGUAAACGAGAGAAGUGUGGAAACCGUUUGCAUCGGGAAAAUAAUGCUGUACAAUGAUUUCAAAUCCGUGACUGAUAGAUGCCGGCGGGCUACAUGUUGAGAAAAUACAGAAAGAUAGUGAGGCGAAUCGUAACUUCAGAAAAACGUUAAUGAAAGCCGUAGGAGGGACGAUGCCAGAUAGUUGUAAAAUUGACGUCGUUUGUUAUGGCAUGCGAGCAGUUGCCAUCACAUUUGCAAUUCUUGCCUUCGUGUUUGGGACAAUAAUGUGUUUUAUGAUGUAUAAAUACUAUGCUCUUCUACGAAAUUACAGACGGAUCGAUCCGAUGCUUAUUGGGGAAGAAAGAACACGAGACGAGGAAAAUGAAGGUCGUGAUUGGACCGAUUCCCAGACGUUUUCUAUGUAAUACCUUUGUAAUAAUGAAAAUAUGCUCACCUUAUAUGUCAUUAUCGCCGUCCAACAAACGUCUUUUGUGUACACAAAAGUACUUAGAACAACGGACAUAGUGAAAUAAUUGAUAUUUAUUGUGACUGUAGAAAUCGCAGAGAAACAUAUUGAAAUAAAAUUGCCUGGAAGUGA